AAAUUCAAAUUUAUUGAAUUGAACUCACAUUUUAGAAUUCUGUUUCUGAUGAACUCUAACCUUCCAAUGUUGCCUUCUAAGCAAAUUGAAAGCUGCCUUAUACCGAAUGAGGAAGAAUACAAAUACUUGGCUGAAUGAGGUAUCGCAAAAGACUGCAUGCACUUUGAAGAAAGACUUAAGUUAUAGUCAUGCGAUUUCCAUUCUUUUUAGCUUUUUCUUAAAUAUACGACAAAUAUCUACACAAA
This 245-nucleotide non-coding RNA is filed under the name Pan troglodytes (chimpanzee). The record is from RNAcentral. Lineage: Eukaryota; Metazoa; Chordata; Mammalia; Primates; Hominidae.